RNAcentral lists this ribosomal RNA (387 nucleotides) under Bacillus aerophilus. Its description in RNAcentral is "bacterial SSU rRNA". It matches the Rfam family "Bacterial small subunit ribosomal RNA", at positions 249 to 628 of the family's 1533-position model. The record is from RNAcentral. Lineage: Bacteria; Bacillati; Bacillota; Bacilli; Caryophanales; Bacillaceae.
UUGGUGAGGUAACGGCUCACCAAGGCGACGAUGCGUAGCCGACCUGAGAGGGUGAUCGGCCACACUGGGACUGAGACACGGCCCAGACUCCUACGGGAGGCAGCAGUAGGGAAUCUUCCGCAAUGGACGAAAGUCUGACGGAGCAACGCCGCGUGAGUGAUGAAGGUUUUCGGAUCGUAAAGCUCUGUUGUUAGGGAAGAACAAGUGCAAGAGUAACUGCUUGCACCUUGACGGUACCUAACCAGAAAGCCACGGCUAACUACGUGCCAGCAGCCGCGGUAAUACGUAGGUGGCAAGCGUUGUCCGGAAUUAUUGGGCGUAAAGGGCUCGCAGGCGGUUUCUUAAGUCUGAUGUGAAAGCCCCCGGCUCAACCGGGGAGGGUCAUUG